Molecule: ribosomal RNA, 889 nt
Filed under: uncultured bacterium
Lineage: Bacteria
Description: bacterial SSU rRNA
Rfam family: Bacterial small subunit ribosomal RNA
Source: RNAcentral
GCUCAGAUUGAACGCGGCGGGCAUGCUUUACACAUGCAAGUCGAACGGCAGCACGGGUGCUUGCACCUGGUGGCGAGUGGCGAACGGGUGAGUAAUAUAUCGGAACGUGCCCUAGAGUGGGGGAUAACGUAGCGAAAGUUACGCUAAUACCGCAUACGAUCUACGGAUGAAAGUGGGGGAUCGCAAGACCUCAUGCUCCUGGAGCGGCCGAUAUCUGAUUAGCUAGUUGGUGGGGUAAAAGCCUACCAAGGCGACGAUCAGUAGCUGGUCUGAGAGGACGACCAGCCACACUGGGACUGAGACACGGCCCAGACUCCUACGGGAGGCAGCAGUGGGGAAUUUUGGACAAUGGGGGCAACCCUGAUCCAGCAAUGCCGCGUGAGUGAAGAAGGCCUUCGGGUUGUAAAGCUCUUUUGUCAGGGAAGAAACGGUGGAGGCUAAUAUCCUCUGCUAAUGACGGUACCUGAAGAAUAAGCACCGGCUAACUACGUGCCAGCAGCCGCGGUAAUACGUAGGGUGCGAGCGUUAAUCGGAAUUACUGGGCGUAAAGCGUGCGCAGGCGGUUUGGUAAGACAGAUGUGAAAUCCCCGGGCUUAACCUGGGAAUUGCAUUUGUGACUGCCCGGCUAGAGUGUGUCAGAGGGGGGUAGAAUUCCACGUGUAGCAGUGAAAUGCGUAGAUAUGUGGAGGAAUACCGAUGGCGAAGGCAGCCCCCUGGGAUAACACUGACGCUCAUGCACGAAAGCGUGGGGAGCAAACAGGAUUAGAUACCCUGGUAGUCCACGCCCUAAACGAUGUCUACUAGUUGUCGGGUCUUAAUUGACUUGGUAACGCAGCUAACGCGUGAAGUAGACCGCCUGGGGAGUACGGUCGCAAGAUUAAACUCAAAG